CUACGGGAGGCUGCAGUGGGGAAUAUUGGACAAUGGGGGGAACCCUGAUCCAGCCAUGCCGCGUGUGUGAAGAAGGCCUUAUGGUUGUAAAGCACUUUAAGCGAGGAGGAGGCUCUCUUGGUUAAUACCCAAGAAGAGUGGACGUUACUCGCAGAAUAAGCACCGGCUAACUCUGUGCCAGCAGCCGCGGUAAUACAGAGGGUGCGAGCGUGAAUCGGAUUUACUGGGCGUAAAGCGUGCGUAGGCGGCUUUUUAAGUCGGAUGUGAAAUCCCCGAGCUUAACUUGGGAAUUGCAUUCGAUACUGGGAAGCUAGAGUAUGGGAGAGGAUGGUAGAAUUCCAGGUGUAGCGGUGAAAUGCGUAGAGAUCUGGAGGAAUACCGAUGGCGAAGGCAGCCAUCUGGCCUAAUACUGACGCUGAGGUACGAAAGCAUGGGGAGCAAACAGGAUUAGAUACCCCCGUAGUC
This 465-nucleotide ribosomal RNA is filed under the name uncultured bacterium. Its description in RNAcentral is "partial 16S ribosomal RNA". It matches the Rfam family "Bacterial small subunit ribosomal RNA", at positions 339 to 795 of the family's 1533-position model. The record is from RNAcentral.